RNAcentral lists this ribosomal RNA (253 nucleotides) under uncultured bacterium. Its description in RNAcentral is "partial 16S ribosomal RNA". It matches the Rfam family "Bacterial small subunit ribosomal RNA", at positions 524 to 776 of the family's 1533-position model. The record is from RNAcentral.
UACGUAGGGUGCAAGCGUUGUCCGGAAUUAUUGGGCGUAAAGAGCUCGUAGGCGGUCUGUCGCGUCGGCUGUGAAAACACGGGGCUCAACUCCGUGCCUGCAGUCGAUACGGGCAGACUAGAGUUCGGUAGGGGAGACUGGAAUUCCUGGUGUAGCGGUGAAAUGCGCAGAUAUCAGGAGGAACACCGGUGGCGAAGGCGGGUCUCUGGGCCGAAACUGACGCUGAGGUGCGAAAGCGUGGGGAGCAAACAGG